AACGAACGCUGGCGGCAUGCCUAACACAUGCAAGUCGAACGAGACCUUCGGGUCUAGUGGCGCACGGGUGCGUAACACGUGGGAAUUUGCCUCGGGGUAUGGAAUAACUCAGGGAAACUUGAGCUAAUACCAUAUAAUGUCUUCGGACCAAAGAUUUAUCGCCCUGAGAUAAGCCCGCGUAGGAUUAGCUAGUUGGUGGGGUAAAGGCUCACCAAGGCGACGAUCCUUAGCUGGUCUGAGAGGAUGAUCAGCCACACUGGGACUGAGACACGGCCCAGACUCCUACGGGAGGCAGCAGUGGGGAAUAUUGGACAAUGGGCGAAAGCCUGAUCCAGCCAUGCCGCGUGCAGGAUGACGGUCCUAUGGAUUGUAAACUGCUUUUGUACAGGAAGAAACACUGGUUCGUGAACCAGCUUGACGGUACUGUAAGAAUAAGGAUCGGCUAACUCCGUGCCAGCAGCCGCGGUAAAGUGACU
Molecule: ribosomal RNA, 476 nt
Filed under: uncultured bacterium
Lineage: Bacteria
Description: bacterial SSU rRNA
Rfam family: Bacterial small subunit ribosomal RNA
Source: RNAcentral